This 465-nucleotide ribosomal RNA is filed under the name uncultured bacterium. Its description in RNAcentral is "partial 16S ribosomal RNA". It matches the Rfam family "Bacterial small subunit ribosomal RNA", at positions 339 to 795 of the family's 1533-position model. The record is from RNAcentral.
CUACGGGGCGCACCAGUGAGGAAUUUUGCGCAAUGGGGGGAACCCUGACGCAGCAACGCCGUGUGAGUGAAGAAGGCCUUUGGGUCGUAAAGCUCUGUCAACUGGGAAGAAGUUACUGUGCUUUAAUAGAGUGCAGUAUUGACGGUACCAGUGGAGGAAGCGUCGGCUAACUCCGUGCCAGCAGCCGCGGUAACACGGGGGACGCAAGCGUUAUUCGGUAUUAUUGGGCGGAAAGGGCGCGUAGGCGGUCUUGUCGGUCAGGUGUGAAAGCCCGGGGCUCAACCCCGGACGUGCACUUGAAACAGCAAGACUUGAGUACGGGAGAGGAAAGCGGAAUUCCUGGUGUAGAGGUGAAAUUCGUAGAUAUCAGGAGGAACACCGAUGGCGAAGGCAGCUUUCUGGACCGAAACUGACGCUGAUGCGCGAAGGCGUGGGUAGCGAACGGGAUUAGAUACCCUAGUAGUC